This 253-nucleotide ribosomal RNA is filed under the name uncultured bacterium. Its description in RNAcentral is "partial 16S ribosomal RNA". It matches the Rfam family "Bacterial small subunit ribosomal RNA", at positions 524 to 776 of the family's 1533-position model. The record is from RNAcentral.
UACGAAGGGGGCUAGCGUUGCUCGGAAUCACUGGGCGUAAAGCGCACGUAGGCGGAUCUUUAAGUCAGGGGUGAAAUCCCAAGGCUCAACCUUGGAACUGCCUUUGAUACUGGGGAUCUCGAGUCCGGGAGAGGUGAGUGGAACUCCGAGUGUAGAGGUGAAAUUCGUAGAUAUUCGGAAGAACACCAGUGGCGAAGGCGGCUCACUGGCCCGGUACUGACGCUGAGGUGCGAAAGCGUGGGGAGCAAACAGG